UGAGGGAUUAAUUUAGAACCAUCCGUUUUAAUUCCUCCUGUCAUCUAAACCGUCCAUAUGAACCGAUAGUAUAUAUUUUUAUCCUAUUAUAUUGACGGUUUGGAUGACAGGAUGUUUUGGUACGAACGGUUUGUUAUAGGCUUUUGUAUAUUUUUCCUAUCCUCACCUCUGCAUCUGUGGGGCAGACCCUCUCGUCGUAACAUCCCCUCUGCAUCUGAGAGGACGAUCGGGUAACGGAAUGGCUUCUCCGACAAAAUGGAAGCCGGAGCGACGCUCCUUCCUCGGCGGCCUCCUCUCGCCCUCGAACCGGAAGAGAACAUCUCCUGGCAAGUCUCGAACCUUUCCUUCGCCUAUCGAGUUCGAGCUAGUAACUGCUCCUCGGAUGCCUUUCUAAUUGCAAUGUCAUCCAUAUGACGUAGGAUGAUAGCUUUAUGGAGUAGAGUUCCUUUUGCAACGAGCAGUUCAGGUGAAAUUAUCAAAUUCCAUGGCAUCUUUACCUCCAUGAAAACCAUGUUUAUGGUCUUCCAGAAAUCAAUGAAAGAUAAAUUGAAGCUUGAUCUCGCACAAAAGAUGAUGAAAAAGAGAGGCAGAGUCAAAGAUUAUCCGAAGGUAGCGUUAACAAACAUAUGGAAAUACUGAUUCAUCUCAGAAAAGGUGCAGAGAGUAAGUUUCAUCAUUAAUAUCGUGGAUAGUUAACUAGCCCGUGACUGGAUUCCAGUACUUGGCAACUAAUGUGUUUCAGAUCAGGGUUGAUUGAUGCCUUCGUUCCUUGAUUGUUUUCUGUUAUUAUUUUGUGAUCUACUGUUGGUUCGAAAGAGUAAUACCGUAUCUCACUGUUAUUAUUAUGGACAUCAAAACGGUUGUUGUAUCCCAAGAAGUUUGUCGUGUUCAUUUAUAGUUUGAAAUGGUGUAGCUGAACUUUUUUCGUUA
Long non-coding RNA from Musa acuminata AAA Group (dessert banana), 930 nucleotides. RefSeq lists it as uncharacterized. Lineage: Eukaryota; Viridiplantae; Streptophyta; Magnoliopsida; Zingiberales; Musaceae. The transcript is spliced from 2 exons. The record is from RefSeq and is a predicted model, not a curated record.